RNAcentral lists this long non-coding RNA (1165 nucleotides) under Coffea arabica (coffee). Its description in RNAcentral is "long non-coding RNA (CARA_LNC005271)". Lineage: Eukaryota; Viridiplantae; Streptophyta; Magnoliopsida; Gentianales; Rubiaceae. The record is from RNAcentral.
AGAACUAUUCUUUGGUUGAUAGACAGGUGGAUUUUCAGAGAUAGCAAUAAGCUUCCUCGGAAAUUGCCAUUUUUUGGGGUUCUUCCAGCUGUGCUUUUCACUUACAAUAAGCUUCAUGAUGCCAUUGUGGAGCAUCUGCAGAUGAUUGGAAGGACAAGCUACUUGAUAAAGCUCCCAUGGUUUGUGAACAUGGAUAUUGUCGGCACGGUUGAUCCUGAUGAUGUAUACCAUGUACUGAUCGCCAAUUUCGCCAACUAUCCAAAAGGGCCUGAGAUGAAACGAAUAUUUGAUGUUUUGGGUGAUGGAAUAUUCACCUCGGAUUUCGAUCCUUGGAAGAAUCAGAGAAAGCUUGCUAGGUUGUUGAUCAAUCAUCAGAGGUUCCAGAAGUUUAUGGUGAAAACCAACUGGGAUAAAGUUGAGCUAGGGCUGAUUCCAGUUCUUGAGCAUUUUGCUGAAAAUAGCCAGAUUGUGGACUUGCAAGAUGUGUUCCAGAGAUUGACUUUUGAUACAACUUCAAAAUUCAUCACGGGUUACGAUCCUGGAUGCCUCGCUGUUGAUUUCCCAGAGGUCGAAUUCGCCAAGGCUAUGGAUGAAGUUGAAGAAGCAAUAGUCAUGCGCUAUUUCUUGCCUGAAAAUGUUCUGAAGUUCCUGAGUUUUGUUGGGAUUGGACGAAUGAAGACAACGAGUAAAGCUUACGCAACAUUGGAUCAAGCAGUAGCCAAGUACAUCUCCAUGAAGAAGGAAGAGUUGAAGAAGGGGAACAAAUCCUAUGAAGGUGACGACAAUGGUGAAGGUUUUGAUCUCUUGACUUCAUAUGUGAAAGAAGGUGAGCGUAUGGGAAUGGUAUUUGAUGAUAAGUUCUUCAGGGACACAAUCCUCAAUCUUAUGAUUGCAGGUAGAGAUACAACUAGCUCUGGUCUCACUUGGUUUUUAUGGCUUGUUUCAACUCAUCCGGAAGUGGAAAAGAAGAUCAGAGAAGAGCUCAAAGCUUCCAUAUCACCAUCAGGAGAAGAAGAUGAAAAGUUCAGGAUUUUUAAGUUUGAUGAAAUAAAAAAUCUUGUUUAUUUACAUGCAGCACUGUGUGAAACAUUGAGGUUAUAUCCACCAGUUCCUUUUCAACACAAGACACCUCUUAAGCCAGACAUUCUUCCAAGUGGCCUACAUG